CCCUUAGAUGUUCUGGGCAGCACGCGCGCUACAAUGGUCUUCGCAAACGGAUGCAUUCUCGAAGGAGAAUGCCAAUCUUGGAAUCUAUGCCUUGGUCGGGACAGUUGCUUGCAAUUUUUCGACUCGAACCAGGAAUUCCUUGUAAUCGUGAUUCAUCACAUCACGAUGAAUACGUCCCUGCCCUUUGUACACACCGCCCGUCGCUCCUACCGAUCGAAGAGUUAGGUGAAUUGUUUUGAUCGAUAAGAUUUGACUAUGGUCAACUUUCGUUGUGAAAUUCUGUGAAUCUGACUGUUUAGAGGAAGGAAAAGUCGUAACA
Molecule: ribosomal RNA, 319 nt
Filed under: uncultured eukaryote
Lineage: Eukaryota
Description: partial 18S ribosomal RNA
Rfam family: Eukaryotic small subunit ribosomal RNA
Source: RNAcentral